RNAcentral lists this unclassified non-coding RNA (400 nucleotides) under soil metagenome. RNAcentral describes it as "partial contains 5.8S ribosomal RNA, internal transcribed spacer 2, and large subunit ribosomal RNA". The stretch from base 1 to 122 matches the Rfam family "5.8S ribosomal RNA", at positions 35 to 154 of the family's 154-position model. The record is from RNAcentral.
GAUGAAGAACGUAGCGAAAUGCGAUACUUGGUGUGAAUUGCAGAAUCCCGUGAACCAUCGAGUCUUUGAACGCAAGUUGCGCCUCAAGCCAUUAGGUUGAGGGCACGUCUGCCUGGGCGUCACAUAUCGUUGCCUGAUGCCAGUUUCCUCGUGAUGGGUGACUGUGCAGGGCGAAUGAUGGCUUCCCGUGAGCAUUGUUGCCUCAUGGUUGGUUGAAAAUUGAGUCCUUGGUAGGGAGCGCCGUGAUAGAUGGUGGUUGAGUGACGAACGAGACCCAAUCAUGUGAGACCCCUACCGAAUUUGGCCUUCAUGACCCACAUGCGUCUUUGGAACGCUCAUGACGAGACCUCAGGUCAGGCGGGGCUACCCGCUGAGUUUAAGCUUAUCAAUAAGCGGAGGA